UACAGAGGUCCCAAGCGUUGUUCGGAUUCACUGGGCGUAAAGGGUGCGUAGGCGGUCGGGUAAGUCUGAUGUGAAAUCUCACAGCUUAACUGUGAAACUGCAUUGGAUACUAUUCGGCUUGAGGUCUGGAGGGGGGACUGGAAUUUACGGUGUAGCAGUGAAAUGCGUAGAGAUCGUAAGGAAGGCCAGUGGCGAAGGCGAGUUCCUGGACAGUUACUGACGCUGAGGCACGAAGGCCAGGGGAGCAAACGGG
This 253-nucleotide ribosomal RNA is filed under the name uncultured prokaryote. Its description in RNAcentral is "partial 16S ribosomal RNA". It matches the Rfam family "Bacterial small subunit ribosomal RNA", at positions 524 to 776 of the family's 1533-position model. The record is from RNAcentral.